UCGUUUAGAUUGAAGGAGCUUGCUCCUGAUUGAUAAACAUUUGAGUGAGUGGCGGACGGGUGAGUAACACGUGGGUAACCUGCCCUAAAGUGGGGGAUAACAUUUGGAAACAGAUGCUAUACCGCAUAAAACCUAACACCGCAUGGUGUAGGGUUGAAAGAUGGUUUCGGCUAUCACUUUAGGAUGGACCCGCGGUGCAUUAGUUAGUUGGUGAGGUAAAGGCUCACCAAGACCGUGAUGCAUAGCCGACCUGAGAGGGUAAUCGGCCACACUGGGACUGAGACACGGCCCAGACUCCUACGGGAGGCAGCAGUAGGGAAUCUUCCACAAUGGACGAAAGUCUGAUGGAGCAACGCCGCGUGAGUGAAGAAGGUUUUCGGAUCGUAAAACUCUGUUGUUGGAGAAGAAUGUAUCUGAUAGUAACUGAUCAGGUAGUGACGGUAUCCAACCAGAAAGCCACGGCUAACUACGUGCCAGCAGCCGCGGUAAUACGUAGGUGGCAAGCGUUGUCCGGAUUUAUUGGGCGUAAAGCGAGCGCAGGCGGUUUCUUAAGUCUGAUGUGAAAGCCUUCGGCUCAACCGAAGAAGUGCAUCGGAAACUGGGAAACUUGAGUGCAGAAGAGGACAGUGGAACUCCAAUGUGUAGCGGUGAAAUGCGUAGAUAUAUGGAAGAACACCAGUGGCGAAGGCGG
RNAcentral lists this ribosomal RNA (691 nucleotides) under uncultured Bacilli bacterium. RNAcentral's name for it is "bacterial SSU rRNA". It matches the Rfam family "Bacterial small subunit ribosomal RNA", at positions 57 to 724 of the family's 1533-position model. The record is from RNAcentral. Lineage: Bacteria; Bacillati; Bacillota; Bacilli.